Molecule: non-coding RNA, 49 nt
Filed under: Schistosoma margrebowiei
Lineage: Eukaryota; Metazoa; Platyhelminthes; Trematoda; Strigeidida; Schistosomatidae
Source: RNAcentral
ACACUGCCGAGGAGUCCCACAAUAGGACGAAAUGGNGCCCGUCCGGUGU